Mauremys mutica (yellowpond turtle) is the source of this 3082-nucleotide RNA transcript. It is a transcript of the gene named adhesion G protein-coupled receptor E3-like, with no coding region annotated. The transcript is spliced from 22 exons. The record is from RefSeq and is a predicted model, not a curated record. NCBI's taxonomy places the organism in Eukaryota, Metazoa, Chordata, Testudines, Geoemydidae.
AUGACACGACUGAAUGGACCAUAAACGGAUGCCUGUGAUUUCUGCAAGUUGGAGUAGUUUAUUGAUCCAGAGUCCAGUGAGGAUAUAGAUGUGGCUUUGCCGGCUCCCCGCAUCUUAUGAUCUUAUCCUGAUGGAAGGAAAUUAGACUGGCAAUUGGGACCAUUCUCACCUUUGGACUCUGAUUAGGAGGCUGCAAAGCUCAGAAUCCUCAGAACUCGACCUGCCCUGACAGCGUCUGAGCCACCAUGGGAACCCGAGGUGAUGUGUAUCCAUUGGGGCUCUGCAUCGCCCUGUGCCUGUGGAGCACCGUGGCCCAGACUCCUGGCGUACAAGGUACCACUGGGGACUGCAACAGCCAUCGGCUGUGCCCAGCAGAUGCCAAGUGUGUGAACAGCACCCACUGCACCUGCCUGGAUGGAUACCAGCCAAGGGGGAAUCGCUUCUUCACCGACCCAACAGAGACCUGUGAUGAUAUUAAUGAGUGUCUGGGGCUGAGCCCGCCAAACUGUGGACCCAACGCAAACUGCAACAACGUGCCUGGGAGUUACAACUGCACCUGCAUCGAUGGCUACGAGUUCAGCUCUGGGAAAGCCAACUUCACGCGCGCGAGUGAGAACAGGUGCCGGGAUAUUGACGACUGUCAAGGCCCGAGCCCGGCAGACUGCGGACUCCACGCAAACUGCACCAACGUGCCUGGGAGUUACUACUGCAGCUGCAUCGAUGGCUACAAGCUCAGCUCUGGGAAAGCCAACUUCACGCACACGAGUGAGAACAGCUGCCAGGAUAUUGACGAGUGUCAGGACCCGAGCCCGCCAGACUGUGGACCCCACGCAAACUGCACCAACGUGGCUGGGAGUUACUUCUGCGGCUGCAGCGAUGGCUACGAGCCCAGCCCUGGGAAAGCCAAGUUCACACACGCGAGUGAGAACAGCUGCCAGGAUGUUAAUGAAUGUCUCAGAUCCCCUGACAUCUGUGGCCCAGGAGCCCAGUGCAACAACACCGAUGGGAGUUACCAGUGUGCCUGCCCAGCCGGCCAAAUGCCUUCCACCGGGAGCUGGGUCCGGAAUCAAACCACGUGUAAAGUCCCCAGCAUUAACUCCAGCGCUGAGUUUGAGGGAAUCAGAGAGAUGUGCAGGAAUUUCUCUCUGCAGGGAAAGCGGUGCAGCGGAAGCAGCAGUUUCUGCUUUUUCUUUAAUUCGACCUUAAACAUUUUGAUGUCCAUAUGCGGAGACAGGAGUGUGGCGUUAUCACUGGAGAACGUGACUCUCCGUUUCAACGCUCUCCUGAACAGCACCUCCCUCUGGGAUGGCGGAGACAAUUGGGAGGUGGGGUCGGCCGUGACGGUCCUGCUGCAGAGCGUGGAACUGGCUGCGCUGGCCACUACGCUCCGGUCUCCGGAGAGGACAACACAGAACGUGACGACAGAGUCUCUGGCUAUCCAGACGCAGCUCGUCAGAGGGAACUGCAGCCAGCACAGUGAGGUCUUCACGCUGAGAGCUCACGAGGAGACAAUGGACGUGCACUGUGAUACAGUCACCGGGGCAGCCACACAAGGUUUGGGGGCUGCUGCUUUUAUUUCCUACUCCACCCUGGACUCCAUCAUCAGUGCGAGACGUCUCAGUGAGGGAAAUCUGCCGGUUGGGAAGCUGGAGAAGAGUCAUCUCAACUCCAGGGUGGUGAGUGGGGCCGUCGGAGACGGAAGAGCCAUUAACCUCUCCAGAUGUGCAAACUUCACCCUACGCCAUAGAAAGGCCAAAAAAGAGGAGGAAGAGGCUCUCUGCGUCUACUGGAAAGUGGUGGCCGAGAGUGGCAGCUGGUCUCUGGACGGCUGCACCACCGUGCACACGAACACCACUCACACCACCUGCAACUGUGACCUUCUCUCCAGCGUGGCUGUCCUAAUGUCUCUCACUGCAGUGACGGAGAGCUACCCACUGACCAUCAUCACCUACAUGGGACUGACCCUCUCCUUGCUGUGCCUCCUCCUCGCCAUCCUCACCUUCCUCCUGUGCCGCUCCAUCCGCAACGUCAGCACCUCCCUCCACCUGCAGCUCUGCCUCUGCCUCUUCCUGGCCGACCUGCUCUUCCUCACUGUGGUGACCCACACUGGCAGUCAGGUGGCGUGUGCUGUCAUUGCUGGCCUCCUACACUACCUCUUCCUGGCCUGCUUCACCUGGAUGUUCCUGGAGGGGCUGCACCUCUUCCUCACCGUCUGGAACCUGCAGGUCGUGAAUUACACCAGCGCCAGCCGGUUCAAGAAGAGAUUCAUGUACCCAUUCGGCUACGGAUUCCCAGCCCUGGUGGUGGCUAUUUGUGCAGCGGUGAAUCCUGGCGGCUAUGGAACUUCCACACACUGCUGGCUCAGUCUGGAGAGAGGCUUUCGUUGGAGCUUCCUGGGUCCAGUCUGUGCCAUAAUCCUGAUAAAUAUAACGUUCUUUGUGCUGACCCUGUGGAUCCUGAGAAACAGACUCUCCUCCCUCAAUGAAGAGGUGUCCAAUGUCAGAGACCACAGGUUACUGACCUUUAAAGCCAUCGCCCAGCUCUUCCUUCUGGGCUGCACAUGGAGCCUUGGUCUCCUCCAAGUUGGCCCAGCAGCCGCGGUCAUGGCGUAUUUAUUCACCAUCGUCAACAGCCUGCAGGGAGCCUUCAUCUUCCUGGUGCACUGUCUCCUCAAUCGCCAGGUGAGAGAGGAAUACAGGAGAUGGAUCAAGGGAUUCCGAAUGUUCAGCAUGAAAUCUCAGACAUACGAUCUGUCCAUGUCUGCUGUCCCCACCACCAGCACCAACACGUUGCUGUCCUUGGUCGGUGAAGGCCCAGAGUUAUGAGCGUUCAUGUGAGUUCAACUCCCACUGAAGGGAUGGGAGAUACCGAGAUGGCAUCAAGAAAUGCCUCAGCUGCUGUUGCCACCACCACAUAAACAACUGGGGUCUGGCCUGAACUACAGAUCUAUAUCGGUAUCACUGAGGACUGCAACAAGCAUAUCACAUGCCCUUUAAACACCAAGUGUGUGAACAACACUCACUGCACCUGCCUGGACGGAUUCCAGCCGAGUGGGAAUCGCGUCUUCACCAAUCUUAAGGAA